Molecule: non-coding RNA, 77 nt
Organism: Struthio camelus australis
Lineage: Eukaryota; Metazoa; Chordata; Aves; Struthioniformes; Struthionidae
Source: Rfam
UUAGGCCAUUACCUGCAGCUGAUGAGCUCCAAGAAGAGCAAAACCAGUUAGGUGCUGUAGUACUGGCCUAGCAAACA